CCCAGGUGAAUUCAUUUAAACUGAUGAAGGAGGUGAGAAAGUAGGAGGAACGUGUUCUUUAAAUGUGAAAAAUAAUAGAGGAAGAAAUACGAUACGAUACGAUGUGUGAUUCAGAACAACAACAGGAGGUGAGUGAACCUCAGUGGCCAGAGAAUGGAGAGCAGUGGAGAGAUGAAGAGGACCAGACCAUGGACUGUGGGCUCCUGGAGGUCAUGGCUGAGGAGGACGAGGACAUCAAUGUCUACAAUCAGGAGACUUUUGGAACAGAUAUGGAUACAGAUGUGACCACAGACAAACCCAGCAGCAGUGUGCAGCUCCCUCCAACCCCCCCACCAUCUGAUGUCCAACCUCUCCCCCCCCACAGAACCCCCCCACCCCCCAGGCAGAGGCUCCAGCAUCAGUGUGGGUUUGUUCCAGGGCAGCGGGGCAGGGGUUACAGGGGUGGACAGGGCAGAGGCCAGAUGUUUGAAGACCC
Molecule: long non-coding RNA, 475 nt
Filed under: Gouania willdenowi (blunt-snouted clingfish)
Lineage: Eukaryota; Metazoa; Chordata; Actinopteri; Blenniiformes; Gobiesocidae
Description: lncRNA (ENSGWIG00000023931.1)
Source: RNAcentral